GUCGGACGGGAUCCAUCGGAGAGCUUGCUCGAAGAUGGUGAGAGUGGCGCACCGUUUCGUAACGCGUGAGCAACCUACCUCUAUCAGGGGGAUAGCCUCUCGAAAGAGAGAUUAACACCGCAUAACAUCAACAGUUCGCAUGUUCAGUUGAUUAAAUAUUUAUAGGAUAGAGAUGGGCUCGCGUGACAUUAGCUAGUUGGUAGGGUAACGGCUUACCAAGGCGACGAUGUCUAGGGGCUCUGAGAGGAGAAUCCCCCACACUGGUACUGAGACACGGACCAGACUCCUACGGGAGGCAGCAGUAAGGAAUAUUGGUCAAUGGGCGGAAGCCUGAACCAGCCAUGCCGCGUGCAGGAUGACUGCCCUAUGGGUUGUAAACUGCUUUUGUCCAGGAAUAAACCUAAAUACGUGUAUUUAGCUGAAUGUACUGGAAGAAUAAGGAUCGGCUAACUCCGUGCCAGCAGCCGCGGUAAUACGGAGGAUCCGAGCGUUAUCCGGAUUUAUUGGGUUUAAAGGGUGCGUAGGCGGCCUAUUAAGUCAGGGGUGAAAUACGGUGGCUCAACCAUCGCAGUGCCUUUGAUACUGAUGGGCUUGAAUCCAUUUGAAGUGGGCGGAAUAAGACAAGUAGCGGUGAAAUGCAUAGAUAUGUCUUAGAACUCCGAUUGCGAAGGCAGCUCACUAAGCUGGUAUUGACGCUGAUGCACGAAAGCGUGGGGAUUCAACAGGAUUAGAUACCCUGGUAGUCCACGCCCUAAACGAUGAUAACUCCAUGUUGGGGAAAGACAGCCAGCGUCCCCCCCAAAGCGUUAAGUUUUUCACCUGGGGAAGACGCCCGCCAGGGGGGAAA
Molecule: ribosomal RNA, 847 nt
Filed under: uncultured bacterium
Lineage: Bacteria
Description: bacterial SSU rRNA
Rfam family: Bacterial small subunit ribosomal RNA
Source: RNAcentral